This 791-nucleotide ribosomal RNA is filed under the name uncultured bacterium. Its description in RNAcentral is "bacterial SSU rRNA". It matches the Rfam family "Bacterial small subunit ribosomal RNA", at positions 8 to 796 of the family's 1533-position model. The record is from RNAcentral.
AGAGUUUGAUCCUGGCUCAGAUUGAACGCUGGCGGCAUGCCUUACACAUGCAAGUCGAACGGCAGCACGGGGGCAACCCUGGUGGCGAGUGGCGAACGGGUGAGUAACAUAUCGGAACGUGCCCUGGAGUGGGGGAUAACUAGUCGAAAGAUUAGCUAAUACCGCAUACGAUCUACGGAUGAAAGUGGGGGAUCGCAAGACCUCAUGCUCGUGGAGCGGCCGAUAUCUGAUUAGCUAGUUGGUAGGGUAAAAGCCUACCAAGGCGACGAUCAGUAGCUGGUCUGAGAGGACGACCAGCCACACUGGGACUGAGACACGGCCCAGACUCCUACGGGAGGCAGCAGUGGGGAAUUUUGGACAAUGGGGGCAACCCUGAUCCAGCAAUGCCGCGUGUGUGAAGAAGGCCUUCGGGUUGUAAAGCACUUUUGUCCGGAACGAAACGGUCCGAGCUAAUAUCUUGGGCUAAUGACGGUACCGGAAGAAUAAGCACCGGCUAACUACGUGCCAGCAGCCGCGGUAAUACGUAGGGUGCAAGCGUUAAUCGGAAUUACUGGGCGUAAAGCGUGCGCAGGCGGUUGUGCAAGACAGAUGUGAAAUCCCCGGGCUUAACCUGGGAAUUGCAUUUGUGACUGCACGGCUAGAGUGUGUCAGAGGGGGGUAGAAUUCCACGUAGCAGUGAAAUGCGUAGAUAUGUGGAGGAAUACCGAUGGCGAAGGCAGCCCCCUGGGAUAACACUGACGCUCAUGCACGAAAGCGUGGGGAGCAAACAGGAUUAGAUACCCUAGUAGUCC